CCUACGGGAGGCAGCAGUGAGGAAUAUUGCGCAAUGGGCGAAAGCCUGACGCAGCGACGCCGCGUGAAGGAUGAAGGUCUUCGGAUCGUAAACUUCUGUUAAGUGGGAAGAAAGACUCGUUUCUAAUAAAAACGAGGGAUGACAGUACUAUUAGAGAAAGCACCGGCUAACUUCGUGCCAGCAGCCGCGGUAAUACGAAGGGUGCUAGCGUUAUUCGGAAUCAUUGGGCGUAAAGGGCGCGUAGGCGGCCUGUUAAGUUUGCUGUUAAAUCUUUCGGCCUAACCGAAAAACUGCAGCAAAAACUGAUAGGCUAGAGUGUAAGAGAGAGAAGUGGAAUUCUCGGAGUAGCGGUAAAAUGCGUAGAUCUCGAGAGGAACACCGAUGGCGAAGGCAGCUUCUUGGCCUACUACUGACGCUGAGGCGCGAAAGCGUGGGGAGCAAACAGGAUUAGAUACCCUGGUAGUCCACGCUGUAAACGAUGAUCACUAGAUGUUAGUUCUGCUUAGCAGGAUUAGUGUCGUAGCUAACGCGUUAAGUGAUCCGCCUGGGAAGUACGGUCGCAAGGCUAAAACUCAAAAGGAAUUGACGG
RNAcentral lists this ribosomal RNA (589 nucleotides) under uncultured bacterium. RNAcentral's name for it is "bacterial SSU rRNA". It matches the Rfam family "Bacterial small subunit ribosomal RNA", at positions 338 to 916 of the family's 1533-position model. The record is from RNAcentral.